RNAcentral lists this ribosomal RNA (1309 nucleotides) under Bacillus mojavensis. Its description in RNAcentral is "bacterial SSU rRNA". It matches the Rfam family "Bacterial small subunit ribosomal RNA", at positions 22 to 1330 of the family's 1533-position model. The record is from RNAcentral. Lineage: Bacteria; Bacillati; Bacillota; Bacilli; Caryophanales; Bacillaceae.
GCCCAGAUCGCUACAUGCUCUACAUGCAAGUCGAGCGGACAGAUGGGAGCUUGCUCCCUGAUGUUAGCGGCGGACGGGUGAGUAACACGUGGGUAACCUGCCUGUAAGACUGGGAUAACUCCGGGAAACCGGGGCUAAUACCGGAUGCUUGUUUGAACCGCAUGGUUCAAACAUAAAAGGUGGCUUCGGCUACCACUUACAGAUGGACCCGCGGCGCAUUAGCUAGUUGGUGAGGUAAUGGCUCACCAAGGCAACGAUGCGUAGCCGACCUGAGAGGGUGAUCGGCCACACUGGGACUGAGACACGGCCCAGACUCCUACGGGAGGCAGCAGUAGGGAAUCUUCCGCAAUGGACGAAAGUCUGACGGAGCAACGCCGCGUGAGUGAUGAAGGUUUUCGGAUCGUAAAGCUCUGUUGUUAGGGAAGAACAAGUACCGUUCGAAUAGGGCGGUACCUUGACGGUACCUAACCAGAAAGCCACGGCUAACUACGUGCCAGCAGCCGCGGUAAUACGUAGGUGGCAAGCGUUGUCCGGAAUUAUUGGGCGUAAAGGGCUCGCAGGCGGUUCCUUAAGUCUGAUGUGAAAGCCCCCGGCUCAACCGGGGAGGGUCAUUGGAAACUGGGGAACUUGAGUGCAGAAGAGGAGAGUGGAAUUCCACGUGUAGCGGUGAAAUGCGUAGAGAUGUGGAGGAACACCAGUGGCGAAGGCGACUCUCUGGUCUGUAACUGACGCUGAGGAGCGAAAGCGUGGGGAGCGAACAGGAUUAGAUACCCUGGUAGUCCACGCCGUAAACGAUGAGUGCUAAGUGUUAGGGGGUUUCCGCCCCUUAGUGCUGCAGCUAACGCAUUAAGCACUCCGCCUGGGGAGUACGGUCGCAAGACUGAAACUCAAAGGAAUUGACGGGGGCCCGCACAAGCGGUGGAGCAUGUGGUUUAAUUCGAAGCAACGCGAAGAACCUUACCAGGUCUUGACAUCCUCUGACAAUCCUAGAGAUAGGACGUCCCCUUCGGGGGCAGAGUGACAGGUGGUGCAUGGUUGUCGUCAGCUCGUGUCGUGAGAUGUUGGGUUAAGUCCCGCAACGAGCGCAACCCUUGAUCUUAGUUGCCAGCAUUCAGUUGGGCACUCUAAGGUGACUGCCGGUGACAACCGGAGGAAAGGUGGGGAUGACGUCAAAUCAUCAUGCCCCUUAUGACCGGGGCUACCACGUGCUACAUGGGACGAAACAAGGGCAGCGAAACCGCGAGGUUACCCAUCCCCCAAAUUUGUUUUCAUUUGGAAACCAACUUGCAACCCACCGGCGGAAACUGGA